GUUGUAUGGUUAAGUGACUAAGCGUACACGGUGGAUGCCUGGGCAGUCAGAGGCGAUGAAGGACGUACUAACUUGCGAUAAGCGCAGAUAAGGCAGUAAGAGCCGUUUGAGUCUGCGAUUUCCGAAUGGGGAAACCCAACUGCAUAAGCAGUUACUGUUAACUGAAUACAUAGGUUAACAGAGCAAACCGGGGGAACUGAAACAUCUAAGUACCCCGAGGAGAAGAAAUCAACCGAGAUUCCGGUAGUAGCGGCGAGCGAACCUGGAUUAGCCCUUAAGCACUCGGUGAAGUAGGUGAACAAGCUGGAAAGCUUGGCGAUACAGGGUGAUAGCCCCGUAACCGACGCUUCAUCGAGCGUGAAAUCGAGUAGGGCGGGACACGUGAUAUCCUGUCUGAAUAUGGGGGGACCAUCCUCCAAGGCUAAAUACUCCUGACUGACCGAUAGUGAACCAGUACCGUGAGGGAAAGGCGAAAAGAACCCCUGUGAGGGGAGUGAAAUAGAACCUGAAACCGUGUACGUACAAGCAGUAGGAGCACCUUCGUGGUGUGACUGCGUACCUUUUGUAUAAUGGGUCAGCGACUUAUAUUCAGUGGCAAGGUUAACCGUAUAGGGGAGCCGUAGCGAAAGCGAGUCUUAACUGGGCGCUCAGUCUCUGGAUAUAGACCCGAAACCGGGUGAUCUAGCCAUGGGCAGGUUGAAGGUUGAGUAACAUCAACUGGAGGACCGAACCGACUAAUGUUGAAAAAUUAGCGGAUGACUUGUGGCUAGGGGUGAAAGGCCAAUCAAACUCGGAGAUAGCUGGUUCUCCCCGAAAGCUAUUUAGGUAGCGCCUCGGACGAAUACUACUGGGGGUAGAGCACUGUUAAGGCUAGGGGGUCAUCCCGACUUACCAACCCUUUGCAAACUCCGAAUACCAGUAAGUACUAUCCGGGAGACACACGGCGGGUGCUAACGUCCGUCGUGGAGAGGGAAACAACCCAGACCGCCAGCUAAGGUCCCAAAGUAUUGCUAAGUGGGAAACGAUGUGGGAAGGCUCAGACAGCUAGGAUGUUGGCUUAGAAGCAGCCAUCAUUUAAAGAAAGCGUAAUAGCUCACUAGUCGAGUCGGCCUGCGCGGAAGAUGUAACGGGGCUAAGCAAUACACCGAAGCUGCGGCAAUGUCUUUUAGACAUUGGGUAGGGGAGCGUUCUGUAAGCCGUUGAAGGUGUGUGGUAACGCAUGCUGGAGGUAUCAGAAGUGCGAAUGCUGACAUGAGUAACGACAAAGGGGGUGAAAAACCUCCUCGCCGGAAGACCAAGGGUUCCUGUCCAACGUUAAUCGGGGCAGGGUGAGUCGACCCCUAAGGUGAGGCCGAAAGGCGUAAUCGAUGGGAAACGGGUUAAUAUUCCCGUACUUCUGACUAUUGCGAUGGGGGGACGG
Molecule: ribosomal RNA, 1420 nt
Filed under: Vibrio cholerae
Lineage: Bacteria; Pseudomonadati; Pseudomonadota; Gammaproteobacteria; Vibrionales; Vibrionaceae
Description: partial 23S ribosomal RNA
Rfam family: Bacterial large subunit ribosomal RNA
Source: RNAcentral